Molecule: ribosomal RNA, 412 nt
Filed under: uncultured bacterium
Lineage: Bacteria
Description: bacterial SSU rRNA
Rfam family: Bacterial small subunit ribosomal RNA
Source: RNAcentral
AGCGAACGCUGGCGGCGUGCCUAACACAUGCAAGUCGAGCGCGGGCAUUUCGGGGGUAACCCCGGGAUGUGCUGAGCGGCGGACGAGUGAGUAAUACGUGGACAACCUGUCUUAAAGCUUGGGAUAACUCCGGGAAACUGGAGCUAAUACCGGAUAAGACCACGGUGUCUAUGGAUGCUGAGGUAAAAGGCGGCCAGGAAACUGGCUGUUGCUUAAAGAUGGGGUCCACGUCCCACUGGUAGUUGGUGGGGUGAUGGCCUACCAAGGCGACGACGGGUAGCCGGCCUGAGAGGGCGACCGGCCACACUGGGACUGAGACACGGCCCAGACUCCUACGGGAGGCAGCAGUGGGAAUCUUGCGCAAUGGGCGAAAGCCUGACGCAGCGACGCCGCGUGAGGGAUGACGGCCUGG